AUGUCGAAUUCCGCGUCAGGAAUGGCCGUUUGCGACGAAUGCAAACUCAAGUUCCAGGAACUCAAGGCGAAGAGGAGCUUCCGCUUCAUCGUGUUCAAGAUCAAUGAGAAGGUGCAGCAGGUGGUGGUGGACAGGGUCGGGGAAAAAACCGAGAGCUACGAUGAUUUCACAGCCUGCUUGCCAGCUGACGAGUGCCGCUAUGCAGUGUUUGAUUUUGACUUCGUCACUGAUGAGAACUGCCAGAAGAGCAAGAUCUUCUUCAUCUCUUGGGCUCCUGACACAUCAAGGGUGAGGAGCAAGAUGCUGUACGCGAGCUCCAAGGACCGCUUCAAGAGGGAGCUGGAUGGCAUCCAGGUGGAGCUACAGGCGACCGACCCGAGCGAGAUGAGCAUGGACAUCAUAAAGGGGCGAGCCCUCUGA
RNAcentral lists this ribosomal RNA (420 nucleotides) under Triticum aestivum (bread wheat). RNAcentral's name for it is "partial small subunit ribosomal RNA". The record is from RNAcentral. Lineage: Eukaryota; Viridiplantae; Streptophyta; Magnoliopsida; Poales; Poaceae.